AGUCGAGCGAACAGACGAGGAGCUUGCUCCUCUGACGUUAGCGGCGGACGGGUGAGUAACACGUGGAUAACCUACCUAUAAGACUGGGAUAACUUCGGGAAACCGGAGCUAAUACCGGAUAAUAUAUUGAACCGCAUGGUUCAAUAGUGAAAGACGGUUUUGCUGUCACUUAUAGAUGGAUCCGCGCCGCAUUAGCUAGUUGGUAAGGUAACGGCUUACCAAGGCAACGAUGCGUAGCCGACCUGAGAGGGUGAUCGGCCACACUGGAACUGAGACACGGUCCAGACUCCUACGGGAGGCAGCAGUAGGGAAUCUUCCGCAAUGGGCGAAAGCCUGACGGAGCAACGCCGCGUGAAUGAUGAAGGUCUUCGGAUCGUAAAACUCUGUUAUUAGGGAAGAACAAAUGUGUAAGUAACUAUGCACGUCUUGACGGUACCUAAUCAGAAAGCCACGGCUAACUACGUGCCAGCAGCCGCGGUAAUACGUAGGUGGCAAGCGUUAUCCGGAAUUAUUGGGCGUAAAGCGCGCGUAGGCGGUUUUUUAAGUCUGAUGUGAAAGCCCACGGCUCAACCGUGGAGGGUCAUUGGAAACUGGAAAACUUGAGUG
RNAcentral lists this ribosomal RNA (606 nucleotides) under uncultured Staphylococcus sp. RNAcentral describes it as "bacterial SSU rRNA". It matches the Rfam family "Bacterial small subunit ribosomal RNA", at positions 60 to 648 of the family's 1533-position model. The record is from RNAcentral. Lineage: Bacteria; Bacillati; Bacillota; Bacilli; Caryophanales; Staphylococcaceae.